Molecule: ribosomal RNA, 253 nt
Filed under: uncultured bacterium
Lineage: Bacteria
Description: partial 16S ribosomal RNA
Rfam family: Bacterial small subunit ribosomal RNA
Source: RNAcentral
UACGUAGGGUGCAAGCGUUGUCCGGAAUUAUUGGGCGUAAAGAGCUCGUAGGCGGUCUGUCGCGUCGGCUGUGAAAACUCGGGGCUCAACCCCGAGCCUGCAGUCGAUACGGGCAGACUUGAGUGCUGUAGGGGAGACUGGAAUUCCUGGUGUAGCGGUGAAAUGCGCAGAUAUCAGGAGGAACACCAAUUGCGAAGGCAGCUCGCUGGGACGUUACUGACGCUGAGACGCGAAAGCGUGGGGAGCAAACAGG